AUACCUCACAACUAAACUACUAAUUUAUAAGCGACUGCCCGUGCCUACCCGGACUCAUGGCGUCCAACUAUGGAGUGCGGCCAAAAUGUCAAAUUUAAACGGAACGCAAAUAGAUUCCAAUCGAUCACCUUGCGCAUGAGGCGCAUUUGGCGCACUGAGGCCCCUUCCUUUGUAUCCAUCCAUACACUUCACACAGACCUAAACACCGAAACUGUUCUAGAAGUGUCCUCGAUUAUAAUAAAUAAACGUUAUCGUUCACGAUUGGAAAAUCGCUCUGACCCACUAAUAUCAGCACUUGACUGCAGACUCAACGCCCGGUAAUCCCCGAAGGAGGCCUGAGAAAAGAUGGUGUCGCGGCCUAAACUUUUAAUCUAAAUCUAAAUAAACAUAAAAAAAAAGUUUAGCCACUGAGUUACUCUUUUUAUCAAGUAACUCGUAUCAGUUAUUAUUAUCAUAGCGCAUUUUCUUAUU
Cinara cedri is the source of this 471-nucleotide non-coding RNA. Lineage: Eukaryota; Metazoa; Arthropoda; Insecta; Hemiptera; Aphididae. The record is from the annotation of a GenBank genome assembly.